GACGAACCGUGCAAACGUUUUUCGGAAUCACUGGGCUUAAAGGGCGCGUAGGCGGGGGACCAAGUCCGGGGUGAAAUCUUUCGGCUCAACCGGAAAACUGCCUUGGAUACUGGUCUUCUAGAGGGAGGUAGGGGCAGGUGGAACUUCCGGUGGAGCGGUGAAAUGCGUUGAUAUCGGAAGGAACGCCGGUGGCGAAAGCGACCUGCUGGAUCUCUUCUGACGCUGAGGCGCGAAAGCUAGGGGAGCGAACGGG
This 253-nucleotide ribosomal RNA is filed under the name uncultured bacterium. RNAcentral's name for it is "partial 16S ribosomal RNA". It matches the Rfam family "Bacterial small subunit ribosomal RNA", at positions 524 to 776 of the family's 1533-position model. The record is from RNAcentral.